RNAcentral lists this ribosomal RNA (232 nucleotides) under uncultured bacterium. Its description in RNAcentral is "partial 16S ribosomal RNA". It matches the Rfam family "Bacterial small subunit ribosomal RNA", at positions 99 to 334 of the family's 1533-position model. The record is from RNAcentral.
CGGACGGGUGAGUAAUGUCUGGGAAACUGCCCGAUGGAGGGGGAUAACUACUGGAAACGGUAGCUAAUACCGCAUAACGUCGCAAGACCAAAGAGGGGGACCUUAGGGCCUCUUGCCAUCGGAUGUGCCCAGAUGGGAUUAGUUAGUAGGUGGGGUAAUGGCUCACCUAGGCGACGAUCCCUAGCUGGUCUGAGAGGAUGACCAGCCACACUGGAACUGAGACACGGUCCAG